UACAGAGGUCCCAAGCGUUGUUCGGAUUCACUGGGCGUAAAGGGUGCGUAGGUGGCGAGGUAAGUUUGACGUGAAAUCUCCGGGCUUAACCCGGAAAUGGCAUUGAAUACUCUCUCGCUAGAGGGUUGGAGGGGGGACUGGAAUUCUCGGUGUAGCAGUGAAAUGCGUAGAUAUCGAGAGGAACACCAGUGGCGAAGGCGAGUCCCUGGACAACUCCUGACACUGAGGCACGAAAGCUAGGGGAGCAAACAGG
Molecule: ribosomal RNA, 253 nt
Filed under: uncultured bacterium
Lineage: Bacteria
Description: partial 16S ribosomal RNA
Rfam family: Bacterial small subunit ribosomal RNA
Source: RNAcentral